Molecule: long non-coding RNA, 372 nt
Filed under: Androctonus crassicauda
Lineage: Eukaryota; Metazoa; Arthropoda; Arachnida; Scorpiones; Buthidae
Source: RNAcentral
UAUGUAUCACUGCUAAACGCGGAUGUGCCCAAUGUUGCCUUACGCGAUUCCUGUAUUUCCGUCUAAGAUAAAACAAACAAGUUUCGUCUUCCCUGUCUAUCAGAUACUGACAUCUUUCUUCUGUGACUUCCGAAAUCCAACUGCCAAAAACAUUACGACUGGAACCGGAAUCGGCGCGGGCAGAAAGCCGGGGUGUGUGCAAGCGCCCUUACGCUUCGGCACUUGACGUCAUUUUCCAUUCUGGAAGAACUAUCUGUUGACAGAAAAAGAAAAAAGAUUAUUUUGGUGGCCAGAUGUAGUCCAUUUAUUUUAAUGUGAUGAACAGAUCCUAAUAGUUAAUAGAGUGUAGUACCCCAAUAUGGAGUAUUAAAC